RNAcentral lists this transfer RNA (71 nucleotides) under Cordylochernes scorpioides. RNAcentral's name for it is "tRNA-Ala". The record is from RNAcentral. Lineage: Eukaryota; Metazoa; Arthropoda; Arachnida; Pseudoscorpiones; Chernetidae.
UGCAUCGGCCGAGAAUCGAACCAGGCGAGCAAUCGUGGCAGGCGAGCAUUCUACCACUGAACCACCUAUGC